RNAcentral lists this ribosomal RNA (491 nucleotides) under uncultured bacterium. RNAcentral's name for it is "partial 16S ribosomal RNA". It matches the Rfam family "Bacterial small subunit ribosomal RNA", at positions 29 to 506 of the family's 1533-position model. The record is from RNAcentral.
AGUGAACGCUGGCGGUAGGCCUAACACAUGCAAGUCGAACGGCAGCACAGUAAGAGCUUGCUCUUACGGGUGGCGAGUGGCGGACGGGUGAGGAAUACAUCGGAAUCUACUUUUUCGUGGGGGAUAACGUAGGGAAACUUACGCUAAUACCGCAUACGACCUACGGGUGAAAGCAGGGGAUCUUCGGACCUUGCGCGAUUGAAUGAGCCGAUGUCGGAUUAGCUAGUUGGCGGGGUAAAGGCCCACCAAGGCGACGAUCCGUAGCUGGUCUGAGAGGAUGACCAGCCAACAUGGAACUGAGAACCGGUCCAACCCCCUACGGGAGGCAGCAGUGGGGAAUAUUGGAAAAUAGGCGCAAGCCGGAUCCAGCCAUACCGGGUGGGUGAAGAAGGCCUUGGGGUUGUAAAGCCCUUUUUUUGGGAAAGAAAAGCAGCAGGUUAAACCCCCGCUGUUCUGACGGUACCCAAAGAAUAAGCACCGGCUAACUUCGU